This 1112-nucleotide long non-coding RNA is filed under the name Triticum aestivum (bread wheat). Its description in RNAcentral is "long non-coding RNA (TAES_LNC000343)". Lineage: Eukaryota; Viridiplantae; Streptophyta; Magnoliopsida; Poales; Poaceae. The record is from RNAcentral.
UUGAGUUCCCACGCACAAUACCCAGUUGAUAUAAGUUAGCACCUCACCGAGCACAUGUGUAAUAGAAAAACACGCAUCAGGAGCACUCCAACUCCAAGCAACUCAGCAAAGACAAUUAAUGUGGAAAGCCAAUAAUUGUGGAAAUGAUUUCAAGAGGCUUCACAACAUAGUCAUGGGUACAGAUAUAGAACCUACUGAGAAAACUUGUGCCAGUAUGCAGCACACACCAUUCAUCAUAUUCAACCUCCAUACUUUUAGAACAAAUCUAAAAAGCUGGAAACAUAAACCAACGGAUCCACAAAACAAGCUCAUUGGCCCCUCAGUGCUUACUGCCUGUUCUUCUUCUUGACACCGGACUUGGCAACCUGGAGGCUGCGGUAAACUGCACUCAGUCUUGCAAGAGCAGGCUUGGUCAAGUCAGGCCUAUAGUAGUUAUCACUGACCUGGAAAGCAUGAAGAAUAACCAUUAGAUCAAGAAAACAAAUGAAGGAGACAUGGUUUAACAGGAAGAAAUCUUAAGCAGCAUUUCUACACUACAUGUAACCACCAAAGGUAGGACCAUUUCCAACUAGUACCAUAGAAAACCAAGCACAAACAGGCAGGGGCAGUUUACAAGACAGGCAUUCCAAUCUUUACUGAAUUAAAGCUUUUUCCACAUUAAGGCUCAACUCAUUCACAAGUGAAAUGUCACAUGCUAGAUACAACCAUACAAUGUUACAAAUCAAAAGUAUGUAUUCUUAGAAUAUUAGAGUAAUGUUCCAGGUUGAUUAAAAGCAUUACAUCUGCAGGUUCCAUAACACAGUCCCUACAGAAGAUUAGAGAUGGUACUGUACAAAUUCAGCAAUCAAGCAUAACAGUUAUAUUUCACCUAUGACCAAAACACUGGAAUGGUUGCUACAGGUUAUAUUUCCAAUACCAGUUGUCAUUCAUCACAACUUAAUCAUAAAAGAACAAUAUGGUAGUUCUUAUGCUAAUACCUGGUUCUUGACAGCCUUGGCCAUCUUGCGGAACUCCUUGCGCAUGACAGUCUUGUGGGUGAACGCGGCAGGCUUGUUCUGCUUCUUUGACUUGGUUGUGGAGAGGACCACAGUCAUCUCCUUCUCAGCAGCUGG